UAAUGGGUCUUGCCACUUUACCAUGGCA
RNAcentral lists this non-coding RNA (28 nucleotides) under Mus musculus (house mouse). The record is from RNAcentral. Lineage: Eukaryota; Metazoa; Chordata; Mammalia; Rodentia; Muridae.